AACGAACGCUGGCGGCAUGCCUAACACAUGCAAGUCGAACGAGACCUUCGGGUCUAGUGGCGCACGGGUGCGUAACGCGUGGGAACCUGCCCUUAGGUUCGGAAUAACUUCCCGAAAGGGGUGCUAAUACCGGAUAAUGUCUUCGGUCCAAAGAUUUAUCGCCUUUGGAUGGGCCCGCGUUGGAUUAGCUAGUUGGUAGGGUAAAAGCCUACCAAGGCGACGAUCCAUAGCUGGGCUGAGAGGAUGAUCAGCCACACUGGGACUGAGACACGGCCCAGACUCCUACGGGAGGCAGCAGUGGGGAAUAUUGGACAAUGGGCGAAAGCCUGAUCCAGCAAUGCCGCGUGAGUGAUGAAGGCCUUAGGGUUGUAAAGCUCUUUUACCCGGGAUGAUAAUGACAGUACCGGGAGAAUAAGCUCCGGCUAACUCCGUG
Molecule: ribosomal RNA, 433 nt
Filed under: uncultured bacterium
Lineage: Bacteria
Description: partial 16S ribosomal RNA
Rfam family: Bacterial small subunit ribosomal RNA
Source: RNAcentral